AGUGCUUGAAUUGCUGGGAGGGAGCGAAUGGAUGCCUUUGUUGCCCGCUGGUUGUGUGCGGAACGGCGUAAAAGCUGGUCUGUCAACCAACUCAGCGGGCUCGCUAGUGUGGGGGUGGAUGCCUGGACAAAGAUCCCGGGCUUUCUGUUCGGGAUUGAUGCUGGUGUCCACUCUGUGGCCUUGGGUGUGCGCCUUUCUGGCGGGUUUGUUUACCCUGCACGCCCGGGACGCUGGUGGCUUUUGGUUUUUCAUUCGACCCGUCUUGAAACACGGACCAAGGAGUCUAACAUGUAUGCGAGCCUGCGGGUUUGACACCUCGCUAGGCGUAAGGAAACUGAUGCGUGGGAUCCCCUUUGUGGGUGCACCACCGACCGACCAUGAGCUUCUGCGAAAGGUUCGAGUUGAAGCAUACCUGCUGGGACCCGAAAGAUGGUGAACUAUGCCUGAGCAGGGCGAAGCCAGAGGAAACUCUGGUGGAGGCUCGUAGCGAUACUGACGUGCAAAUCGUUCGUCAGACUUGGGUAUAGGGGCGAAAGACUAAUCGAACCAUCUAGUAGCUGGUUCCCUCCGAAGUAUCCCUCAGGAUAGCUGGAGCUCAUAUUGAGAGUUUUAUCAGGUAAAGCGAAUGAUUAGAGGCAUUGGGGGUGAAACACCCUCGACCUAUUCUCAAACUUUAAAUAGGUAAGGUGUCGGGGUUGCUCCGGUGAACCCCGACCUUUGAAUCUGAGCUCCAAGUGGGCC
Molecule: ribosomal RNA, 741 nt
Filed under: Lycopodioides jiulongensis
Lineage: Eukaryota; Viridiplantae; Streptophyta; Lycopodiopsida; Selaginellales; Selaginellaceae
Description: Selaginella jiulongensis partial 26S ribosomal RNA
Rfam family: Eukaryotic large subunit ribosomal RNA
Source: RNAcentral